AUACGUAGGUGACAAGCGUUAUCCGGAUUUACUGGGCGUAAAGGGCGUGUAGGCGGUCUUGCAAGUCAGAAGUGAAAUUCCUGAGCUCAACUCGGGCGCUGCUUCUGAAACUGCAGGACUUGAGUGCUGGAGGGGAUAGCGGAAUUCCUAGUGGAGCGGUAAAAUGCGCAGAUAUUAGGAAGAACACCGGUGGCGAAGGCGGCUAUCUGGACUGUAACUGACGCUGAGGCGCGAAAGUGUGGGGAGCAAACAGGAUUAGAUACCCUGGUAGUCCACACUGUAAACGAUGAAUGCUAGGUGUAGGGGGUAUCGACCCCUUCUGUGCCGCAGUCAACACAAUAAGCAUUCCGCCUGGGGAGUACGGCCGCAAGGUUGAAACUCAAAUGAAUUGACGGGG
This 397-nucleotide ribosomal RNA is filed under the name uncultured bacterium. RNAcentral describes it as "partial 16S ribosomal RNA". It matches the Rfam family "Bacterial small subunit ribosomal RNA", at positions 523 to 918 of the family's 1533-position model. The record is from RNAcentral.